GGGUUAGGUGAGGGGAACUGAGCCUUCCCGUUCUGGUGUCCAGGGCGAGCGCCCCUUCCCCCAGGACGGGAAGGAAAUGCGCGGUCCAUUCUCCUGUGCCCAUUUCCGUCGGUGUCCCUGUGGUGGUGGUCGCGGCGAUGCCCGUGGUUUUGGUUCGCAUGUGGGCCGGACCCCAUCUCGCGGUUCGGGUGCGUCAUCACGGUUGUUUUACAGUGUAGAACCUGGUGGGAGCUUGUUAUUUUGUGAGAGACAAUGUGUGCGGGUGGGGGAAAUAGACACUUACCUGAGGGAGAAAAAAGUUUGUCCCCCAGAGAAAUGCCAAAGGAUGUGGGUUGCCAAAAAAAGGAAAAGAGGCAAAGUGCAGAAAAAUAAGUGAUGUAUGGUAAAAAAAUUACUUUGGAGUAAAGUAAUGAACUAGGAAAAAUACCAUAAAAAUGAUUGCAAAACAAAUUAGUGCAAACAAAGAAGGCCAACACUCCUUCUCCACUUAGACAAAGGAAGAGAAGGGGGGGGGGUUGUUGUUUUGUUUGGGGCCUUCACUUUUAGCACAAAGGGAUUAUAGCGCUGCAGGCCUCAAAAAAAAUUGUUUUGAGGUUGCUUUGCUAAGAAAAAGUCCUUGGUGCCAAAAAAAAGGGGUUUUAAAGAUGGUAAAAAGGUAGGAAAGGGUGCAAAAAACAAAAUUGUGUUUUUUUUAAAAAAGACAAGAGCAGAACUCUGUUUGCUAAAGGGCACUUUGGGCCUAGGGGAUAUUCCCCAGACGUUUAAGGCCCCUGAGCAAACUGGAGUAUAACACCUAUGAAUAAGUUCUCUUAAAAUCCAAAUAAUAUAUAAGGAAAAUAUAUACUUAUCUGUGUGUGCUGAUCGAUUAACGUAUCGACGAGUAGUUUUGUGUCUUCCUCAGAAUCUAUAGCACACAAUUCCCAGCGGCAGCAGCGUCUUGUGCGUGUGGAUCCUCAGGCGUUCAGAGUUGAACUUCUGUUUGUGUCCAAGCUGCUCGCUGGGGCUCUUAAAUCUCUCCGUAGUUGCAGUUUCAUUUGUUUUGCAAAUUUGGGCUGUGGAUGGCUUGGAAAGUGGGUGGAACUCUUCUUGUGGAUGGGCACCAUUGGGUUACUCCUCCUUCGUUAGUCUUGUACUUGGGGUCUGGGAUGUUCACCAGCAUUUGUCUGUUUGUGGGGGCGGCUCCAUGCAUUUGCAAGAUGUUGUUGGGGCCUCGUUUUGUGAAUGUUUUGUCCUUCUUCCUCCCAUCGUUGUCGUUAUCCUGCAGAGCUAGCUCGGACGACCGAUUUUAGCAUUGGAAUGCGGCACACCGGUUAUGGAUUUGUUUUGCUUUUAAGAGGUUAGGGUUAGGGUUAGGUGAGGGGAACUGAGCCUUCCCGUUCUGGUGUCCAGGGCGAGCGCCCCUUCCCCCAGGACGGGAAGGAAAUGCGCGGUCCAUUCUCCUGUGCCCAUUUCCGUCGGUGUCCCUGUGGUGGUGGUCGCGGCGAUGCCCGUGGUUUUGGUUCGCAUGUGGGCCGGACCCCAUCUCGCGGUUCGGGUGCGUCAUCACGGUUGUUUUACAGUGUAGAACCUGGUGGGAGCUUGUUAUUUUGUGAGAGACAAUGUGUGCGGGUGGGGGAAAUAGACACUUACCUGAGGGAGAAAAAAGUUUGUCCCCCAGAGAAAUGCCAAAGGAUGUGGGUUGCCAAAAAAAGGAAAAGAGGCAAAGUGCAGAAAAAUAAGUGAAGAGGUAUGGUAAAAAAAUUUACUUUGGAGUAAAGUAAUGAACUAGGAAAAAUACCAUAAAAAUGAUUGCAAAACAAAUUAGUGCAAACAAAGAAGGCCAACACUCCUUCUCCACUUAGACAAAGGAAGAGAAGGGGGGGGGGUUGUUGUUUUGUUUGGGGCCUUCACUUUUAGCACAAAGGGAUUAUGGCGCUGCAGGCCUCAAAAAAAAUUGUUUUGAGGUUGCUUUGCUAAGAAAAAGUCCUUGGUGCCAAAAAAAGGGGUUUUAAAGAUGGUAAAAAGGUAGGAAAGGGUGCAAAAAACAAAAUUGUGUUUUUUUUAAAAAAGACAAGAGCAGAACUCUGUUUGCUAAAGGGCACUUUGGGCCUAGGGGAUAUUCCCCAGACGUUUAAGGCCCCUGAGCAAACUGGAGUAUAACACCUAUGAAUAAGUUCUCUUAAAAUCCAAAUAAUAUAUAAGGAAAAUAUAUACUUAUCUGUGUGUGCUGAUCGAUUAACGUAUCGACGAGUAGUUUUGUGUCUUCAUCAGAAUCUAUAGCACACAAUUCCCAGCGGCAGCAGCGUCUUGUGCGUGUGGAUCCUCAGGCGUUCAGAGUUGAACUUCUGUUUGUGUCCAAGCUGCUCGCUGGGGCUCUUAAAUCUCCCCGUAGUUGCAGUUUCAUUUGUUUUGCAAAUUUGGGCUGUGGAUGGCUUGGAAAGUGGGUGGAACUCUUCUUGUGGAUGGGCACCAUUGGGUUACUCCUCCUUCGUUAGUAUUGUACUUGGGGUCUGGGAUGUUCACCAGCAUUUGUCUGUUUGUGGGGGCGGCUCCAUGCAUUUGCAAGAUGUUGUUGGGGCCUCGUUUUGUGAAUGUUUUGUCCUUCUUCCUCCCAUCGUUGUCGUUAUCCUGCAGAGCUAGCUCGGACGACUGAUUUAGCAUUUGAAUGCGGCACACCCGUUAUGGAUUUGUUUUGCUUUUAAGAGUCUAUUUUUUUAUUUUAUGCUAAGGUUGAUAUAAAAUUAGUAUCCUAGGGUUUGAGCAUGUUAGGGUUGACUCUAAGAUUAGGGCUAAGUAAAGUAAAUCAACAGUUAUGUUUAGGUAUGGGGGGAAGGAAUAUGAUUUUGAAGUUUAAGAAUGAAGUAUUUUAGUUUUGAAUUAGAAUUAGAAAAGUAAUAAAUAGGUGGGUAUUGUGGUUAGAAGAGGUUUGAGGAAAGUAGAUCGGUUGUUGUGUUUAGGUGGGGGGUUUUGGAAAAGGCAUACAGUUUUUAAAUUUGAGAUAAGAUAUUUUAAUUUUGAAAAUAAGAAUAGAGUAGUUAUGAGGCUAGGUGAUCUUUGUGUUUAGGGAAGGUUUAAGAGUGUAAGUUUAUACUUGUGUUUAGGGCUAGGUGAUCUUUUGUGUUUAGGGAAGGUUUAAGAGUGUAAGUUUAUACUUGUGUUUAGGGGGGGUUUGGGGAAGGGUUAGGGUUAGGGUUAGGGUUAGGGUUAGGGUUAGGGUUAGG
Syngnathoides biaculeatus (alligator pipefish) is the source of this 3200-nucleotide long non-coding RNA. RefSeq lists it as uncharacterized. The record is from RefSeq and is a predicted model, not a curated record. The transcript has 4 exons. NCBI's taxonomy places the organism in Eukaryota, Metazoa, Chordata, Actinopteri, Syngnathiformes, Syngnathidae.